UACGGAGGGGACUAGCGUUGUUCGGAAUUACUGGGCGUAAAGCGCACGUAGGCGGAUUUGUAAGUCAGGGGUGAAAUCCCGGGGCUCAACCUCGGAACUGCCUUUGAUACUGCAAAUCUCGAGUCCGGAAGAGGUGAGUGGAAUUCCUAGUGUAGAGGUGAAAUUCGUAGAUAUUAGGAAGAACACCAGUGGCAAAGGCGGCUCACUGGUCCGGUACUGACGCUGAGGUGCGAAAGCGUGGGGAGCAAACAGG
RNAcentral lists this ribosomal RNA (253 nucleotides) under uncultured bacterium. Its description in RNAcentral is "partial 16S ribosomal RNA". It matches the Rfam family "Bacterial small subunit ribosomal RNA", at positions 524 to 776 of the family's 1533-position model. The record is from RNAcentral.